Molecule: ribosomal RNA, 88 nt
Filed under: Clostridium sporogenes
Lineage: Bacteria; Bacillati; Bacillota; Clostridia; Eubacteriales; Clostridiaceae
Source: RNAcentral
CGUUCCCAUGCCGAACACGAAGGUUAAGCUUCAAAGCGCUGAUGGUACUGCAGGGGAGGCCCUGUGGAAGAGUAAGUCGUUGCCAGAU